RNAcentral lists this ribosomal RNA (292 nucleotides) under uncultured bacterium. RNAcentral's name for it is "partial 16S ribosomal RNA". It matches the Rfam family "Bacterial small subunit ribosomal RNA", at positions 505 to 796 of the family's 1533-position model. The record is from RNAcentral.
GUGCCAGCCGCCGCGGUAAUACUGAGGGUGCGAGCGUUAAUCGGAAUUACUGGGCGUAAAGCGAGUGUAGGCGGUUGCCUAAGUCGGAUGUGAAAGCCCCGGGCUUAACCUGGGAAUUGCAUUCGAUACUGGGCGACUGGAGUUUGGUAGAGGUAAGUGGAAUUCCGGGUGUAGCGGUGAAAUGCGUAGAUAUCCGGAGGAACAUCAGUGGCGAAGGCGGCUUACUGGACCAAAACUGACGCUGAGGCUCGAAAGCGUGGGUAGCAAACAGGAUUAGAUACCCCUGUAGUCC